GCGAGUGAAGCGGCAAAAGCUCAAAUUUGAAAUCUAGUACCUUCGGUGCUCGAGUUGUAAUUUGAAGAUGGUAAUCCUGGCGCUGGCCCUUGUCUAUGUUCCUUGGAACAGGACGUCAUAGAGGGUGAGAAUCCCGUCUGAUGGGGUGUCCAGUGCCUUGUAGGAUGCUAUCGAAGAGUCGAGUUGUUUGGGAAUGCAGCUCUAAGUGGGUGGUAAAUUCCAUCUAAAGCUAAAUAUUGGCGAGAGACCGAUAGCGAACAAGUACAGUGAUGGAAAGAUGAAAAGAACUUUGAAAAGAGAGUGAAAAAGUACGUGAAAUUGUUGAAAGGGAAGGGUAUUAGAUCAGACUUGGUGUUUUAUGAUUAUCUUCCCCUCGUGGGUUGUGCACUCGUAUUUCACUGGGCCAGCAUCGAUUUUGGUGGCAGGAUAAUGACAUUGGAACGUGGCUCCCCUCGGGGAGUGUUAUAGCCCUUGUUGAUACUGCCUACCGGGAUCGAGGACUGCGGCUUUUUAGCCUAGGAUGCUGGCGUAAUGAUCUAAUAUCGCCC
Molecule: ribosomal RNA, 548 nt
Filed under: Wickerhamomyces sp. GY45L04
Lineage: Eukaryota; Fungi; Ascomycota; Saccharomycetes; Phaffomycetales; Wickerhamomycetaceae
Description: eukaryotic LSU rRNA
Rfam family: Eukaryotic large subunit ribosomal RNA
Source: RNAcentral